RNAcentral lists this small RNA (588 nucleotides) under Pongo abelii (Sumatran orangutan). RNAcentral describes it as "retained intron". The record is from RNAcentral. Lineage: Eukaryota; Metazoa; Chordata; Mammalia; Primates; Hominidae.
UGGGGGCAUUUAGCCCAGAAAUGGGGGUCAGGGUAGACUUCCUGGAGUGGUGUGGAAGGCUAAGUGGGGGGUAAGGAAGGCAGGGAGGGCCUUCCAGGAAGAGCCCCUGCAUGACUAAAGCUGCAGAGGUGGAAACAGCUGGGUGUGGGGUCAUCUCUAGAGCUAAAGGACAGGAUGCCUGCCUGAGCUGUGGGGCUGUAUCCAAUGCCUCUCCUCCGCCCAUUGGGCCUUUCUGGUCUGACCAGGCACCCUCUUCCUGUGGAUGUACUGGCCCAGCUUCAAUUCAGCCAUAUCCUACCACGGGGACAGCCAGCACCGAGCCGCCAUCAACACCUACUGCUCCUUGGCAGCCUGCGUGCUUACCUCGGUGGCAAUAUCCAGUGCCCUGCACAAGAAGGGCAAGCUGGACAUGGUGCACAUCCAGAAUGCCACGCUCGCAGGAGGGGUGGCCGUGGGUACCGCUGCUGAGAUGAUGCUCAUGCCUUACGGCGCCCUCAUCGUCGGCUUCGUCUGCGGCAUCAUCUCCACCCUGGGUUUUGUAUACCUGACCGUAAGUGCCCCAGGCAAGGGGCUGGGGGCUGGAGAAUG